This 500-nucleotide ribosomal RNA is filed under the name uncultured bacterium. Its description in RNAcentral is "partial 16S ribosomal RNA". It matches the Rfam family "Bacterial small subunit ribosomal RNA", at positions 30 to 523 of the family's 1533-position model. The record is from RNAcentral.
AUUGAACGCUGGCGGAAUGCUUUACACAUGCAAGUCGAACGGCAGCACGGACUUCGGUCUGGUGGCGAGUGGCGAACGGGUGAGUAAUGUAUCGGAACGUGCCCAGUCGUGGGGGAUAACGUAGUGAAAAUUACGCUAAUACCGCAUACGAUCUAUGGAUGAAAGCGGGGGAUCGCAAGACCUCGCGCGAUUGGAGCGGCCGAUAUCAGAUUAGGUAGUUGGUGGGGUAAAGGCCCACCAAGCCAACGAUCUGUAGCUGGUCUGAGAGGACGACGAGCCACACUGGAACUGAGACACGGUCCAGACUCCUACGGGAGGCAGCAGUGGGGAAUUUUGGACAAUGGGCGAAAGCCUGAUCCAGCCAUUCCGCGUGCAGGAUGAAGGCCCUCGGGUUGUAAACUGCUUUUGUACGGAACGAAAAGGUUUCUACUAAUACUAGGAGCUCAUGACGGUACUGUAAGAAUAAGCACCGGCUAACUACGUGCCAGCAGCCGCCGUAA